This 396-nucleotide ribosomal RNA is filed under the name uncultured Gammaproteobacteria bacterium. Its description in RNAcentral is "bacterial SSU rRNA". It matches the Rfam family "Bacterial small subunit ribosomal RNA", at positions 30 to 430 of the family's 1533-position model. Lineage: Bacteria; Pseudomonadati; Pseudomonadota; Gammaproteobacteria. The record is from RNAcentral.
AUUGAACGCUGGCGGUAGGCUUAACACAUGCAAGUCGAGCGAGAAAGCACUUCGGUGUGAGUAGAGCGGCGGACGGGUGAGUAACGCGUAGGAAACUGCCCAGUAGUGGGGGAUAACAUGGUGAAAACCAUGCUAAUACCGCAUACGCCCUAUGGGGGAAAGCGGGGGAUCUUCGGACCUCGUGCUAUUGGAUGUGCCUGCGUCGGAUUAGCUAGUUGGUGGGGUAAAGGCCUACCAAGGCGACGAUCCGUAGCUGGUCUGAGAGGAUGAUCAGCCACACUGGGACUGAGACACGGCCCAGACUCCUACGGGAGGCAGCAGUGGGGAAUAUUGGACAAUGGCGCAAGCCUGAUCCAGCUAUACCGCGUGUGUGAAGAAGGCCCUAGGGUUGUAAAG